CUGCAUUGCCUCAGUACGGCGAGUGAAGCGGCAAAAGCUCAAAUUUGAAAUCUAGGCACUUUCAGGUGUCCGAGUUGUAAUUUGAAGAAGGUAACUUUGGUUUUGGCUCUUGUCUAUGUUCCUUGGAACAGGACGUCACAGAGGGUGAGAAUCCCGUGCGAUGAGAUGCCCAAUUCCAUGUAAAGUGCUUUCGAAGAGUCGAGUUGUUUGGGAAU
This 215-nucleotide ribosomal RNA is filed under the name uncultured fungus. RNAcentral describes it as "partial 26S ribosomal RNA". It matches the Rfam family "Eukaryotic large subunit ribosomal RNA", at positions 70 to 281 of the family's 3401-position model. The record is from RNAcentral. Lineage: Eukaryota; Fungi.